ACCCUCCGAUCCCUUACCCAUAAGAUCUAGCAUUGGUCUGAGCGGCCAUGAAAGGUGGAAAAGUAAAACUGAAAUGGACUCGGAUUCUUUUGUGACAAAUAAGUUAAUUUCAAACAAAA
Molecule: small nucleolar RNA, 119 nt
Filed under: Echinops telfairi (small Madagascar hedgehog)
Lineage: Eukaryota; Metazoa; Chordata; Mammalia; Afrosoricida; Tenrecidae
Description: Small nucleolar RNA SNORA61 (ENSETEG00000025532.1)
Source: RNAcentral